RNAcentral lists this long non-coding RNA (825 nucleotides) under Phasianus colchicus (ring-necked pheasant). RNAcentral describes it as "lncRNA (ENSPCLG00000002590.1)". The record is from RNAcentral. Lineage: Eukaryota; Metazoa; Chordata; Aves; Galliformes; Phasianidae.
UGGGGAACAAUGGCAUUGGGACUUGACGCCUACAGAUAACUUCGGCGCUAAGAUUUCUUCGGGCACAAAGGACCCUCGCACCAAGCAUACCUGGUGAUGAUAUCAGCUGAAGUAAUUAAGGCAGUUUCGUGCUGUAGAGAGAAAGGUGGAGCCCCAACAACAUGAAACUACCUAAACCACAGAGCAGUUCUCAGGCGCUAAUAAUUACUUUCCCCAUAGCCGUGGUCUUUAACGCAAGGAUCCCGCUACGGAAAUAAAACCAGAAACGUGACCCCGCGGUCCCUCUCGCCCCCCGCGCACCCCGCCGGGCCCCCCGCGCCCCCCGGCCGGGUUCAGGGAAACGGAGAAAUAGCAUCAGAACCCCCCCCCCGAGGGCGGCUUUCGCCUCUCCAUGCAGAUGGGAAGGCCGUCCGCUGCGAUGUUACAUCAUAAAAAGCUAACGGCUCCCUCUAAGCCCGGGUUCAAAGUCUCUCCCCCUCCUCCCAGCACACACAUACCCGGGAAGAAAGCUGGAGCUGUCGCUCCUCUGCCAGCCCUCGCUGUGCCUUCCCUUUGUGCGAGCCCCCGCUAGCUGAGCAUGCAGCGAAGGAGGGAGGAUGCAAAGGCGGCCCGGGGGGAAUAAGCGCUCCCGCAUGCAGCCAGUCUGUGCAGCUCCUCAGUCAACUGAAACCACUCGUUCAAGACAGCAACAAUCCAGAUAUACUAGCAAGUCAUAAAACUGAACAAAAGCCGACAAACCUUAGAGCACCAUCGCUAUAUGGCCCAGACAAAUUACGACCGUCUAGGGGGAAUCGUUGUGUGCUUAUCCCGUGUUACCAACGGUAA